ACCAGACUCCUACGGGAGGCAGCAGUGGGGAAUAUUGCACAAUGGGGGAAACCCUGAUGCAGCGACGCCGCGUGAGUGAAGAAGUAUUUCGGUAUGUAAAGCUCUAUCAGCAGGGGAGAAGAAAGACGGUACCUGACUAAGAAGCCCCGGCUAACUACGUGCCAGCAGCCGCGGUAAUACGUAGGGGGCAAGCGUUAUCCGGAUUUACUGGGUGUAAAGGGAGCGUAGACGGCUGUGCAAGUCUGAAGUGAAAGCCCAGGGCUCAACCCUGGGACUGCAUUUGAAACUGUCAGGCUGGAGUGCAGGAGAGGUAAGUGGAAUUCCUAGUGUAGCGGUGAAAUGCGUAGAUAUUAGGAGGAACACCAGUGGCGAAGGCGGCUUACUGGACUGUAACUGACGUUGAGGCUCGAAAGCGUGGGGAGCAAACAGGAUUAGAUACCCCAGUAC
This 447-nucleotide ribosomal RNA is filed under the name uncultured bacterium. RNAcentral's name for it is "bacterial SSU rRNA". It matches the Rfam family "Bacterial small subunit ribosomal RNA", at positions 330 to 793 of the family's 1533-position model. The record is from RNAcentral.